CCACAGCCUUCGCUGCACCAGUUGAGGUUGGGACAAUGUUGAGUGCUGCAGCACGUGCACGUCUCAGAUCCCUGUGGCUGGCAUCAAGCAACCUCUGGUCUCCGGUGUAGGAGUGAGUUGUAGUCAUAGUUCCCUUAAUAAUGCCUAUUAUGACAUAUCUCAUACAUUUUAGCUCUUGGAACCAUUUUACUUUCUUUAUUUAAAAAAUGCUUGGGGAAGAAAGUAUUACCAAAUUUCUGGUCAAGAACCUUGACAAAGGGUGCAAGGCAGUUAGUAGUGCAGGAUGCAUUACUAAUUAUGGUCUCAGAAUGAUCAUAUAACUCCGCGUUGACACCAACAACAUAUGUUGGAAUGUCACCCUUCCCCGGGGCUGUGAUGAGCACUUUCUUGGCUCCAGCCUCAAGAUGCUUACCAGCACCUUCUCUGUCCACAAACACCCCUGUCCCUUCAAUGACCAGGUCAAUUCCCAGCUCCCUGUAAGCUUUCACAGAAUUAUUCCUUGUACAAAGUGUAAUUUGUAAGUUAAUAAAAACGCUAAACGAGCAAAGAUAGUUGCAAGUACCCCCAUGGUAGGUUGCUAGGAUUGCGGUUAGAGACGACUUGGAUGACCUUUCCAUCAACAGAUAUGCCAUCAGUGCCAACAGGCUUGACAUCAGCAUCAAAGAUGCCAAGUGUUGAGUCGUAUUUAAGCAGGUGAGAUGCUUGCUUUACACCACCGGUGUCGUUGAUUGCAACAACAUCAAGAGGAGAGUCUUUCCUUCCAUGCCAACACCUAAGAAAGUUCCUUCCAAUUCUUCCAAAUCCAUUGAUGGCUACCUUCAAUUUAGCUUCCACAACUCCCCUCUUGUUCCCUCCACCGAUCUAGAUUAAUCACAAAUCGGCCCCAAAAUAUAGUACAUUAGAUCUUCCUAUAAAUAAAUCUACAAGACUACAGUACUCAUUAUAGAAACAAAACUUUUCAGGUAGAUCUCUGUUUACUUGUCUCCGCGGUCUUACUGAGCAGUCAUAAGGUCUCACACCAAAUUAAAACGACGAAUAUUUUUUAUACUAUAAUCGACAUUGAUAUUGUGAAAUUUACUAGCAAUACUGAAUUAAUCUUAUAAAAAAAAUUACUAGCUAGAAUUUAAGAAUUCAUUUAUCUAAUUCUGAUAAUAAUAUGAAUUGCUACCAACAAUGUCGGUUGAAAAGUGAAUAACAGGGGAGACUUACGACAGAGGUCUGGAAAGCAACAACAGAGAGCAAGUCAUCAGAUGUUCUUCUGUUAAAAGGCAGAGCAGCAGACGAACGCAGGCCCGUGAAAUCCGAGAAUCCCUUGUUCACCUGCACAUUUACCACAAACAUACAUUUAACACUAGGCGCAUAAAAACUUCACAUUUUAUAUGCUCUCAUUAGUCCCGUUCAAAAACACGUUACACGUCCAGUAUUUCCGCGGUCUGGGAAGUGUAAAAUGUACGCUGACAAACGUAAGCGUAACGCAGAAAAACAUAGUAACUACAAGUAGUUAAG
RNAcentral lists this long non-coding RNA (1506 nucleotides) under Daucus carota (carrot). RNAcentral describes it as "long non-coding RNA (DCAR_LNC006388)". Lineage: Eukaryota; Viridiplantae; Streptophyta; Magnoliopsida; Apiales; Apiaceae. The record is from RNAcentral.